ACGCUGGCGGCAUGCCUAACACAUGCAAGUCGAACGGAGGCCCGAAGCUUGCUUCGGAUACCUUAGUGGCGAACGGGUGAGUAACACGUGGGAAUCUACCUAAAAAUGGGGAAUAACUGUUGGAAACGACAGCUAAUACCGCAUAAUCCCUUCGGGGUAAAGGCUUCGGCCGUUUUUAGAUGAGCCCGCGCUAGAUUAGGUUGUUGGUGGAGUAAUAGCCCACCAAGCCUGCAAUCUAUAGCUGGUCUGAGAGGAUGAUCAGCCACACUGGGACUGAGACACGGCCCAGACUCCUACGGGAGGCAGCAGUGGGGAAUAUUGGACAAUGGGGGAAACCCUGAUCCAGCAAUGCCGCGUGAGUGAAGAAGGCCCUAGGGUUGUAAAGCUCUUUCAGAAGUGAAGAUGAUGACUGUAACUUCAGAAGAAGAUCCGGCUAACUCCGUGCCAGCAGCCGCGGUAAUACGGAGGGAUCUAGCGUUGUUCGGAAUUACUGGGCGUAAAGGGCGCGUAGGCUGUAUGAUUAGUCAGAGGUGAAAUCCCUAAGCUUAACUUAGGAACUGCCUUUGAUACUGUCAUACUAGAGAAUGAGAGAGGUGAGUGGAAUUCCAAGUGUAGAGGUGAAAUUCGUAGAUAUUUGGAAGAACACCAGUGGCGAAAGCGGCUCACUGGCUCAUUUCUGACGCUGAGGCGCGAAAGCGUGGGUAGCAAACAGGAUUAGAUACCCUGGUAGUCCACGCUGUAAACGAUGAAUGCUAGCCGUUUGAGGUUUUACUUCAAGUGGUGCAGUUAACGCGUUAAGCAUUCCGCCUGGGGA
RNAcentral lists this ribosomal RNA (814 nucleotides) under uncultured Alphaproteobacteria bacterium. RNAcentral's name for it is "bacterial SSU rRNA". It matches the Rfam family "Bacterial small subunit ribosomal RNA", at positions 33 to 879 of the family's 1533-position model. Lineage: Bacteria; Pseudomonadati; Pseudomonadota; Alphaproteobacteria. The record is from RNAcentral.